RNAcentral lists this small RNA (4134 nucleotides) under Pan troglodytes (chimpanzee). RNAcentral describes it as "retained intron". The record is from RNAcentral. Lineage: Eukaryota; Metazoa; Chordata; Mammalia; Primates; Hominidae.
AUUGCUUACAAAAUAUAUCUGCAUAGUCCGUUAGUUUUGGAGGCUGAGUGAAAACUCCUGUGAUUUCAGAAAUAUUGUAUCUGUGAUCUGCUAGAUUUUAAGGAGAAAACUUCAUUAAGUCUUAUUUUCUAGGUUAGGAGUACUGUCUCUUCCCUCAGUUGACAGGCUGCCGAAGCAGCUUAGAAUAAAGGUUUUUCUGUUAAAGCCAGGAGCUUAAAGAGGAUCUUGACUUGACCCACUCUUCCUUUAUACUCAGAUUCCUGGGCUGACUGAUUUCUGUUAACUACAGUUACUUUAUUGGUAGUCUUAACUGUUACUGUGAAACACCCAUAUUCUGCUUUCACUUCCGGAGAAAAUUGUUUCAUUUCCAUAGAGGUAAUCUUUCUAGUGUUGGAGUAAACAGGCUUUUAGCAACUUUUGGGUUCCCCAUUUCUAUAUUCUCACCUAUGUUAAUUUUUGCCUGUGGUAAAAAUAGCAAAAACUACACCCUCAUUUUUGAGACUUCCUCCUUUGUCCAUGGAGAGAAGGGAAGUGUCCGUUCAGAAUACUUGAUAGGGAAUUCCAAGGGAUUGUUGUUAAUUGGAAGCCCCAGAGCAUCACUACAUCCUUUAACCAUUUCUUGAUGUUAAAGGCAGCUGUUCAUAUAUUUUUCUUUUAAUCUUUUUACAGUCACUCAUGGAGGGUGGUAGAGGGGAAAGGCUGUCACAUUUCAUGUCACCCCACCAUGUUUUAUAAUGGCUUUGAAGUCAUUUGAACGUUUCUAGAGUCGUCUGGGGCCUAGAGACCUGAACUCAUUUUACUGGAUGAGUUAGCCUUUCCUUCUGUGUUAAACCUCAAACCUUAAUUUGUCUGUUCUGUGUUACAUUAUAAAUGUUUUCCCUGAGCAUCAAAGGAUCAUCCAAAUUUUCUCCAUGAUGUUGUAAACCACAAAACUAUCUUCUAAAGUGUUUUGAGCUGUAAUUUAGAAUAAUCCUCUACUGUCCUUUCAAGAAUGUCCAGAAUACUCUGAAGAUGUAUCACACAAGGAAAUCUCUUGUGAUUUUAUCUGAAAGCUUCACCUUUGAUUCAUGCCAUAUAGUGACUUACUGUAAUACUGCUUCCUUUUGAGUCUUGCCAUUUCUGCUCUCUGGAGUAGAAAGGCUUACCAGGCUUUACUUUGUCUAAGUUUGACAACCUAAAAUAAAGGUUGCCUUGAUAAUUUUACCUAGCUAUCAGACUGACUAGGAGUAGGUUCUGUCCUUUCCUCAUCUACUGUUUUGGUGCCUUGGCAGAACUUUUCCUUGGUUUCAUUACUUAGUAUACCCUUUUGUUAAUUAUGUGUCUUUAGCUCGUUGGUGACCUAGUUAUCCUGGUUACCAUUCCUUUGCUAUUUUUCAUUACAAAUCCCCCCUUAACCUGCCAGCCAAUCCCAGUUUUGGUUGGGAAAGCUAUGAGUACACAAUAUUUACCUAAACUUUGGCUAUUGUAUGUAGUUUCUGUACUCUUUUGCUUCCUGGGCCCUAGGUUAGGAGCUCCUGAUUUAGCUGCCUGGUUUUAAUGUGUACUUAAGUAACUAGGUAAGUUAGGUUAAUUCCUGGUUUCCCAUAAGUUUGCCCUGGCUCAUCUCCAUUUAGCUGGAGAAGCUGUGGAGGAUCUCUGACACCCUCUCUACUCUUAUUUGUGUGUAGUUCGCUGUUCUGUUGUAGCUCCAUCUGGUUGCUUUCAGUUUUUUAGGGGGCCUCCCACCAUGGUUAGAUGCUAUAGGGUUUUACAGGGUUUAGUGUCCUUCAAGCUAGCCUUUGCUUUCCGCUAGGUUUCUGCUUUUCUCUAGGAUUUGAAACUGAGAUCAUCAUCUUUAUCUCUUUUAUCACUGAAUUAUAAGUAGUAACUUGAAAGGUCAAGGUCUUUUUAAAAAUCAAGCAUUUUUUUAAGUAAAUUAUAUAAAUUAUAUAGGAUUUUGUUUUAUUGAUUGCAACUUGAUUGAAAUAGGUAUAAAGUAUAGGUGUCAUAGUUAAUAAGGUUCCGCCUCACCCUAGUCUUUAUGGAAUAACAUUCUGAAACACAGUCCUUGGACAGUUCCCUUAACUGCUUGACUUUGGCACCCCUUUCUGAAGGAAGUGGGGUCAAAUAACUCUUUCCCUGCUCCAAAAAGGUGGAAGAAAGGACAAGUUAAUUGACUUAUGUCAUUUGGAGCAAUGAAACUAUUAACACCAGGUAUACUCAGUUCCUGCCCUUACCUAUAUUUUCUUAUCUUGGAAGGGGAUUGCUGUCCCUCACCAUUUAUCUCACAGCAGCUUAUUUGUUUUUAAAGUUGCCCAGAAAGUGUGCAAAUUAAACUUUUAACAUCUACGUGUAGGAAUCCCGUUCUGCUUCCAGAAGUGGAAGUGCUCACGGAUCGGGGAAAUCUGCAAGGCAUACCCCUGCAAGGUCUCGCUCCAAGGAAGAUUCCAGGCGUUCCAGAUCAAAGUCCAGGUCCCGAUCUGAAUCUAGGUCUAGAUCCAGAAGAAGCUCCCGAAGGCAUUAUACCCGGUCACGGUCUCGUUCCCGCUCCCAUAGACGAUCACGUAGCAGGUCUUACAGUCGAGAUUAUCGUAGACGGCACAGCCACAGCCAUUCUCCCAUGUCUACUCGCAGGCGUCAUGUUGGGAAUCGGGCAAAUCCUGAUCCUAACUGUUGUCUUGGAGUAUUUGGGCUGAGCUUGUACACCACAGAAAGAGAUCUAAGAGAAGUGUUCUCUAAAUAUGGUCCCAUUGCCGAUGUGUCUAUUGUAUAUGACCAGCAGUCUAGGCGUUCAAGAGGAUUUGCCUUUGUAUAUUUUGAAAAUGUAGAUGAUGCCAAGGAAGCUAAAGAACGUGCCAAUGGAAUGGAGCUUGAUGGGCGUAGGAUCAGAGUUGAUUUCUCUAUAACAAAAAGACCACAUACGCCAACACCAGGAAUUUACAUGGGGAGACCUACCUAUGGCAGCUCUCGCCGUCGGGAUUACUAUGACAGAGGAUAUGAUCGGGGCUAUGAUGAUCGGGACUACUAUAGCAGAUCAUACAGAGGAGGAGGUGGAGGAGGAGGAGGAUGGAGAGCUGCCCAAGACAGGGAUCAGAUUUAUAGAAGGCGGUCACCUUCUCCUUACUAUAGUCGUGGAGGAUACAGAUCACGUUCCAGAUCUCGAUCAUACUCACCUCGUCGCUAUUAAAGCAUGAAGACUUUCUGAAACCUGCCCUAGAGCUGGGAUAUUGUUUGUGGGCAAUAUUUUUUAUUGUCUCUUGUUUAAAAAGUGAACAGUGCCUAGUGAAGUUAGGUGACUUUUACACCUUUUAUGAUGACUACUUUUGGUGGAGUUGAAAUGCUGUUUUCAUUCUGCAUUUGUGUAGUUUGGUGCUUUGUUCCAAGUUAAGUGUUUUCAGAAAAGUAUGUUUUGCAUGUAUUUUUUUACAGUCUAAAUUUUGACUGCUGAGAAGUUUCUAUUGUACAAAACUUCAUUUAAAAGGUUUUUCUACUGAAUCCAGGGUAUUCUGAAGAUCGAAGCCUGUAUAAAAUGCUACCAAAUGGCAAAAAGCAACAAUAAACAGUUUGAUUUUUACUUUUCUUUCUAACAUAUCAGUGCUUAGCAGAACUGUUCAGAUUGUCAGUAGUAAAUUUAAAGACAAAUGCCCGUUUUCCUCCAGUCCAUGAAACAUACCAUACUUAUAUACCUGCAACUAAGUGUUUAAAAUUAUGCUCUGUAACUCUGUACUGCUAGUAUUAGAACUAAAAAUCUUAAAAUACAGCCAGUGCUUAAUGCUUAUAUCAAUGUGGAUUUGUCGGCUUUUAUGUAAUCUGUAAUAUGUAUAGCAGGAAAUACGAAGAGUUACACAGUGUAUGCCUUAAAAGGCUGUUUCUUAAAGCUGUUACAAGGGGAUAAUGGUAUUUCAACUAGUUAUCAGCAAGUGACAAUACAUUCCACCACAAAUACACUCUUGUUCUUCUAGCUUUUAGACUAUAUGAAAAAACCGGGUGCUUCAAAGUACAUGAUAAGGGAACACUAUACCUGUGUCAUGGAUGAACUGAAGACUUUGCCUGUUCAUUUUUUAAAUAUUAUUUUCAGGUCCUUUGCUUACCAAAGGAGGCCCAAUUUCACUCAAAUGUUUUGAGAACUGUGUUUAAAUAAACGCAAAUGAAAAA